This is a long non-coding RNA of Rattus norvegicus (Norway rat), 379 nucleotides long. Lineage: Eukaryota; Metazoa; Chordata; Mammalia; Rodentia; Muridae. The record is from Ensembl.
CACCAUGCCUGGCUUGAACCACACAUUUACGAGUGGCUUCGACCAGCAAAGAAGAAAAAUGACCUCUCAGAAGCCCCAAAACACGAUUACAGAAGCAAGUAAGCUGUAAACACCGGCCUCACCACCGGCUCCUCGACCGACCGACGCUCUAUAUAAGUCAGGACUCUACAGCGUGAACUUGGGAUGAGGACAAGACUCAGGCACUCAGACACUCACACAGACGCACACUAGCUCAUCCGCUGGGACAGCGGGUGUGCGAGAGCUCGCUGCCUGGCUUGACUGCAUCAUUGGUGUGCACGAGUAUCUCUCCCCCUCUCGUUUUAAAUUGAAUUUCCAUUUGGCAAAAUAUUGUGAGCUCUCUCUCUCUCUCUAACCGUGG